CGCGUAUAUCAGCAGGUCAUGAAGGGGGCGGGACUUCCUGUUGUGCACUCGGUUUUCUUCACGGCCUCUCGGAUUGAAGGGCACUGGUUCAGUGGAAGAAGAGGUUCAUUCUGCACAGUGAAGAAGUGUGUCUUGGCCACAUACGCCAGCAUCGCCGCCAUUAUCCUGUUCUUCAAACUGAAGCCCAAGAAGAAGGCUGUAACGGCGAGCUAAUGUAUUAUAAGGUUUUGUGAUUUUUUGCUGUACAGGAUGAAGAUUCGGUAACCAGUUGUCUUGAGUCACAAUGUUAAAAAUAAAGUGUACCAAACUCCAAUACAUAGAAAAGAUGUUUUAUUUACACAAUUAUAAAAGACUGUACAGUUCAGGAGGCUGGGGCCACAAACCUGUAUGGCAGCUAUGUGAAAAAUAAUUAACUAAGUAUCAGUAUCUUGUUACUGAUACAAAUACACACAUGGUUAAGUCCAGAAGGUUCAGUUGCUUCACUGUAAU
Long non-coding RNA from Ictalurus punctatus (channel catfish), 489 nucleotides. The record is from Ensembl. NCBI's taxonomy places the organism in Eukaryota, Metazoa, Chordata, Actinopteri, Siluriformes, Ictaluridae.